This 253-nucleotide ribosomal RNA is filed under the name uncultured Acinetobacter sp. RNAcentral's name for it is "partial 16S ribosomal RNA". It matches the Rfam family "Bacterial small subunit ribosomal RNA", at positions 524 to 776 of the family's 1533-position model. Lineage: Bacteria; Pseudomonadati; Pseudomonadota; Gammaproteobacteria; Moraxellales; Moraxellaceae. The record is from RNAcentral.
UACAGAGGGUGCGAGCGUUAAUCGGAUUUACUGGGCGUAAAGCGUACGUAGGCGGCUUUUUAAGUCGGAUGUGAAAUCCCUGAGCUUAACUUAGGAAUUGCAUUCGAUACUGGGAAGCUAGAGUAUGGGAGAGGAUGGUAGAAUUCCAGGUGUAGCGGUGAAAUGCGUAGAGAUCUGGAGGAAUACCGGUGGCGAAGGCGACUUUCUGGGCUGUAACUGACGCUGAGGCGCGAAAGCGUGGGGAGCAAACAGG